This 372-nucleotide long non-coding RNA is filed under the name Dermacentor andersoni. RNAcentral's name for it is "uncharacterized LOC126544645". Lineage: Eukaryota; Metazoa; Arthropoda; Arachnida; Ixodida; Ixodidae. The record is from RNAcentral.
CAUAGCCGCGUCCCGUCUCGUCAAGCAGCACGGGUCGCCUCCGGUUUCCCAAGGUCACGGCCGUGCUGAGCGGCCAGUACGAGUGCUCGGGAUACGUCCGGCUGCCACGGCGCGAGGUGAUCAUCAAAGUUCGUCACGAGAUCCAAGUGUUCGAGAGCGACAAGAACGGAACCGGAUGCCGCGUGGGAUAUGUCGUCAGCGACCGGCGCUGCUACGUCUGCCUGCCCGGGUCCUUCAGCCCUGGCGGCGUGUUCCGCAACUGCAUCCCCUGCGACUUCGGCUUCUACACCGAGCAGCACGGCUCCCCCUUCUGCCUUUGGUGUCCACCGGGCAAGUCCACCUAUCGGCAGGGAAGCACCUCGCCCAAUGAUU